UCCCUGGUAGUAUAUCGGUUAGUACACGCGCCUGUCAUCCUAGUAACGUGCGCGCGAAAGCUGGGUUCGACUCCCAGCCAGGGAG
Paramarasmius palmivorus is the source of this 85-nucleotide non-coding RNA. The record is from the annotation of a GenBank genome assembly. Lineage: Eukaryota; Fungi; Basidiomycota; Agaricomycetes; Agaricales; Marasmiaceae.